Molecule: long non-coding RNA, 5971 nt
Organism: Dunckerocampus dactyliophorus (ringed pipefish)
Lineage: Eukaryota; Metazoa; Chordata; Actinopteri; Syngnathiformes; Syngnathidae
Exons: 3
Source: RefSeq, a predicted model, not a curated record
AGGAGUGCCAGCGCUUCAUGUGCUUGGAGGAAGCGGCUGAGGAGGAAGCUUUCUGCUCAGCAUCCGCUCCUCCUUCUGCACCUCCUGCAGCUGCAGCUGCUCCCUCCUCUGUGGAGGCAUUGAGUGCUUGGGGGUCCUCCAGGCGGUCUAGGGACUUGGAGCGUUUGGGAGCUUCUAGAGUGGCGGAGCUGCGAUGGGAGAAGAUCUUUGCCACAGGCCUCCUGAUCAGCUCUCCCACUGAAGACACUUUUCCUUUCUUUUCCUCCUCCUUCUUCUCUUCCUCCUUUUCUCCGUUUGCCACCGCCUCCCCCUCAGCACCUCCUUCUGCUCCUCCCUCAGCCGCGGCUGCCUCCUCUCCUUCUUUCUCCGCCCCCUCGGCUGCACUCUCCUCCCCGCCUCCUGCUGGGAUGCUGGGCUCCUUCUUUUUUCUGGCCGCCAUCACCUUGCCCAGCCCGCUCUUGUUCAGGAAGGAGUCCAGGAAGGAGGUCUUGUGCUCUGCGUUUUCUGAGCUCUGAGGAGCUGUCACCUCGCCGCUCGAUGCUCCGGCCUCCUCCUCCUCGCCGCCGGCCUCUGCCCCCUCCUCUGCCGCUGUGUCGUUAUUGACAGUGUCUUUGCUGGGGACAACCUCGCUGUUGACGGCAGCGCCAUCUUUGUCUGGCAGCUCGCUGUUGGCGCUCUCUGAGUUCGCCUGAUUGGUCGCUUGCUCCGCCUCCGGCUGCUUGCUCUCCGCACUUUUCCCGUCUUCCUGAACUGCAGGCGCCGCGUCGGCUUCCGUCGCCGCCAUUUCCGAAAGAGGGAAGAAACCACAACAAAAAAAGUUUGUUUCUUUCCUUCCCUGGCCUUCUACACUCCUCUUCCUCUCUUUCUGCUGAUUGGUUCCUCCCGUAAGGUGGCGCUCUCAGCUCAUGGAAAGCGGCGUGGAGAAGACUGGCAUGGAAGGAAGCUACUCAGCAUCCUACUAAUCCUCCUGACUCCUGUGGAGCAGCAGAGAAAGGUAGAAAGAGUCAACAGAAGGAGACAAGCCAGGGAGAGUUUUUAUGAUUGACUGUGGACAUUCUCCAGGUGUCUGUCUCGCUCUCUCUAUCUCUCUCUUACACACACACACACACACACACACACACACACACACACACACACACACACACACACAGACUCCAUGAAUGAGUCAGCACGUCAAUGACUGUGAGUCACUGGGGCGAGCACACGUUUAGAUAUUCUCUGAGGGAUUCGGGUGGAGACAGCAUCAGGUGGGCGAGUUGGGGAGGACCAAGUGAGAGAGGCAUAAAAACUAACGUGACGUGAUCCAAACUGGCUGCCAUACUGGAUUUCACACCAGAACCGCAGGUGAAUGUCUCAGCCGUCGUACAUCCUCAAAUUACCGUACAGUCAAAUCUCGUCCUCCCAACGCCCCCGUUUUUGUAUGGGUCGGUUUUUGUUCAAAAAUGUGUUGUACACCGUCGGUUGUAACAAACUAGUCGUUUUGCUGUGUACUGUAUCGUUCCAUGAAAUCGAGUGCCCAAACAAAGCACCGUACACCUUGCUGACUCAUUGUCCGUGCGUUUUUUUGAGCGAGACUGCUAAAUAACCCGCCAUGGGGUCAAAGAAAGUUCAGAGUGCCAGCAAUUUGAUAAAGGAGGUGAGAAACACUAUUGAAUUCCAUCUCGACAGAAUGUGCAGAAAGUCCACAUCAACAAUAACAUCCAUCAAUUCGUCAUUUAUAAUUAUUUCUCAUUGUUUUCUGCAUGUAAAACAAUAAUUACUCUCUAUAGAAUGUAUCUUUUGUUCAUAUUUUUUCGUGUCUUGAUCAGAUUAAUUGGAUGUUCAUUAUUUCAUACUGGCAAAAUUGCCUUGGUUUUUGUACAUUUCAGUUUUUGUUGAACCUUGGAAUGAAUGAAUAACAAAAACCGAGGUGCCGCUGUGUUGUCUUUUUCAAGUUCACAAGUGUUACACGGGUUUCGAGGUCAGGGUGUCUGGUGGUUUGAUGGAUGUCUUCAUAGUGCACACACACAACAUUUAGAAUCGACUCAAUGCUCUUUAACAGUUGACAAAAUGUCAAAUGUCUUUGACAAAAAACAAAGAAAGUUUUUCCCAACCUUUGCCGAGCCAAGUUACACAUUUGACAUUGGAAAAAUGUCACAGCACACCACCAAACGAAUGUAUGGCAACAGGUUGAGACACAGGUUAAUUAUGUACCUUCUGCCGUCUCGUGGAAGAACAUUUAAUUUAUACGUCGCUGGCAUAGAUAGAUGAACAAAGACGCAUUGUGAUCUCUCACGGCACACUAAUGUAAAAGGAUGUAGUGGUUUUGUUGUCAUGUUGUUGUGCCGAGUGAAGGCAGCCAAGAUGCAAGUGUUUGAGUUGAAUAAUUCAUCCACCACAAGUCCAAAUAGUCCCAACAGUCCACACGCGAGCCUCACAUGCGCUCCCCUUCUUGCUUUAUGUGCUUUAUCAUCGUCGCAUUCUCAUCUCUUCAUCAGUGUCAGUCGUCUCUGCAGGUUGCCGAAGGAGGAGAAAGCUGACACUUGACUGACAAGCAACACACAUGAAACGAACUCCUGAGGAGUACUGAGGACUGCUGUGAUAGAUGUAGAACAAGUAUUCUCAGUAGAAAGUCCCCUCAAGGUGACAUUCAGCUGACCUUCCAGGUGAAAUUUGGAAUGUGGAAGGCUGAGUGGCGACAGCGUCCCGCCAUAAAAGCCAUGAGACCAGGUUAAAUGGACCAGGCCUACAGGAGUGUCUCCACUGGGGCAAGAAGGUUCUUCGGAUAAUACACACGCCUCCUCAAAACUCAGCCGACACAUGACUGAGACGGCGACAUUUCACACACAGGUUAAAUGGACCAGAACCGGCCUUUGGACCCGCACACCAGACAUGGGGAUGCAAACAGGAAGUACUGGUCCAGAUGAAGGAUUAUAUUUGGAAGCAAAGCAACUUUCAGUGCAGUUGUUUAUGGCCUGGGCCGCACAGCAACCUGAGGGCAACACACCUUGGCCCCUGACCUCUGACCCCUCAGUGUUGCAGGUCAAAAGGAAAGCGGAUUUGCCGCGCAGGCUGCAGUGAAGAUGACACUACAAGCAAGCCUGUUAAAUCCAUCAGUGGAUCAGCACAGGCCGCACGCAACGCUCGCUCAGGUUACCACUUGAAGGACGUCAUCGUCAUUGUUAUUAUCAAUAUCAACAUUUUCAUCAUCAUCUUCCUGCUGCAACUAUGAUGCUUGGAUGGAAACCCCUGGAAGGACCUCCAUGGACUCACUAGGUUUUGUUCAUGUGAGAAGAGUCCAAGUUUAGCAGCACACACUCCUCGUUAAUCAAUUAACUGUCCCUAAACAGGAUUGUUUACAUUAGCCUUCGUUAGAGCCGCUAUGGAGCACCAAAACAAGUCAGCCAGCUAAUGAAUACAACUACAUGACUACAACACACCUACAACUAUAACACAACCGCAAUACAGCACGACUACAACACACCUACAACUAUAACACAACUGCAAUACAGCGCGACUACAACACAACUACAACUAUAACACAACCGCAAUACAGCGUGACUACAACACACCUACAACUACAACACAACUGCAAUACAGCACGACUACAACACACCUAUACUACAACACACCAACAACUACAAUAAAGCACGACUACAACCCAACACACCUAAAACUACACUUGUAAUACAACACACCUAAAACACAACUGCAAUACAGCACAACUACAACACACCUGCAACUACAACACAACUGUAAUACAGCACAACUACACCUGCGAUACAUCACAACUACAAUACAACACGACUGCAAUACAUUACGACUACUAUAUGAUUACAACUACAAUACAACACACCUACAACUACAACACAACUGCAAUACAGCACAACUACAACACACCUAAAACUACACUUCCAAUACAACACAACUACAACACACCUACAAGUGCAACACAUCUACAACUAAAACUGCGAUACAACACACCUACAGCUGUAAGAGAACUGCAAUACAACACGACUAUAACACACAACUACACCACAACUGUAAUACAACAUGACAACAAGUCUGCAGCAUGACAACACACCGACAACACCACUGCAAUACAAAAGGAUUCCAACAUGACUACAACACGUCUACAACACUCCUACAUUUGAUAAAAAGUUGUACUGUCUUUCUUUUCUGCUGAAGGCUUUAGAAGAGAAUGUGUAUGUCAGGUGUAAUGUCACCGCCUAGUGGCCUGGCAUGCAUAUUACACUUUUCACUUCUUUUUCCCAUAUGCACUUUGACGUUGUCGUCUGUACGUGAAACUUUUCAAACUGGCUGCGGUUCAUGUCAUGUGGUUGUGGUGUAAACCGACAACGCUAGAGCCCUGCUGUGUGUUGCCGUGGUAACAAGAUUUACUUGAGUCUUUCAACAUGACGACAGCGAUGACAACAUAAAGGAGAAGAAGAAGGUGUUGAGAAGGUUGGUGGGUGGGACUGUGGUGGUCAGCAGCAUGCAGUGAAAGGAGCAGUGUCCAUAGCGACGUGCUAUUAUGGGUUGCCAGCUCAAGGCACCAUGGGAGUCUUCUAUAGAGCCUCAGCUCGCUCCUUCAACAGAGAGGCCCCUUCAUGUCCUUUCAUCCUCCUCUUCCUCAGACACAGACCAGCCUUUAUCUGCCCAUCAUGUGCUCGCUCUCGCUUCUCUCUCCUCCAGCCUGACCCUGUUUUCUCCAGCCAGCAGCAGGAGGGGGUGGGGGAGCACAUGCACAGUGAGAGUGAAGGGGAAAAGGCUGAUUUGGAGGCUAAAUAUUUGAUCCGUGGCUACGCUAGUGUCUGUAGCUUAAUACCCUUUGGAUGUUAUCUCAUAAGUCUGUGCAGCUUUUUCCUGCUCAAAUAAUCUCUACAUCUCAACUCAUCCUCCUCACGUCUGCUGGCUGUACGUGUGCACGUGCAACACAUGACAUUUUCAUCUGUCAAGACGUCAUUCAUGGGCACUCUUGGUUUCCAAAGGUGAAGGUUCAUCAUUUCUUAGGAGUCAAUGCUGGCCAAGUGGCUGGCAUGAAGUUUCAUCUUGUCAGUCAAUCAAUCUAUCACAUGCUGUCAAUCAUCAACUUUUAACCAUCAAAGUUUAGGACCAGUACCUUCUCAUGCCAGAGAUUGUAACUUGUGAUGAAAUGUUAACACAACACACAAUAGGCAAUACACAGCAUCUUCUCAUUUUGUCUCUGAGUGUCUGAUGACCUCCAACAUGUCCUUCAUCAAACAUCUUCAUCAACUUUGUCUCAGCGUUUACAUAUGUCCUCAGGCAUGUGAUGGCUUCACAGUGUGGCCUCAUCCACCUUCUCAUUCUACUCUAGCAUCUUCAACCUCAUGAUGCGCAGUAUCUCACUCGUCAUCUCUCAACAAUCUCACCCUUGUUGUCCUGCCACAGGCGCCAUCUUCCUCCAACAUCGCUCCUCAUCACAUGCAUGCAACGACUCAUCCGUCUGCAUCCUCAUUCCAAAUACCUUCUCAUUAGCCCCUCACACUUUUCAUUUGGUGCACCUCUCUUAUGUUGUCUCAUAUUCUCUCACUCUGUCUCAUGCUGUCUCGUACCGUGUCAUGCUAUCUCAUGUUCUGUCAUGUUGUCUCAAACUGUGUCAUCUUCUCUUGCAUUCUCUCAUACACAAACCUUCUCAAUAGCUCCUCACAUUUCUCAUUUGAUGCACCUGUCUUGUGGUCUCUGAUGCUGUCUCAUAUUCUCUCAUUCGGUCUCAUGCUCUCCUGUGCCAAAUCAUGCUGUCUCAUUUUCUAUCUUGUUUUCUCAUGUCUCAUGCUGUCAUUUUCUCUUGCAUUCCCUCGUGCUGUCUUGUGUUCUCUCAUAUUGUCUCAUGUUUUCUUGUGCUGUCUUGAGUUGUCUCGUGUCAUGCCUCAUACACACAUCCACUGACUCAUCCGUCUGCAUCCUCAUUCCAAACAAAUACCUUCUCAUUAGCCCCUCACACUUCUCAUUCGGUGCACCUCUCUCAUAC